This 274-nucleotide ribosomal RNA is filed under the name uncultured bacterium. RNAcentral describes it as "partial 16S ribosomal RNA". It matches the Rfam family "Bacterial small subunit ribosomal RNA", at positions 523 to 796 of the family's 1533-position model. The record is from RNAcentral.
CUACGGAGGGUGCAAGCGUUACUCGGAAUCACUGGGCGUAAAGCGCGCGCAGGCGGGCUGAUAAGUUGGAUGUGAAAGCCUACGGCUCAACCGUAGAACUGCAUCCAAAACUGUCAGUCUAGAGUCUGGGAGGGGAAGAUGGAAUUAGUUGUGUAGGGGUAAAAUCCGUAGAGAUAACUAGGAAUACCAAAAGCGAAGGCGAUCUUCUGGAACAGUACUGACGCUGAGGCGCGAAAGCGUGGGGAGCAAACAGGAUUAGAAACCCUUGUAGUCC